CAAUCAAACCGGGAGAUAGCUGGUUCUCCCCGAAAGCUAUUUAGGUAGCGCCUCGUGAAUUCAUCUCCGGGGGUAGAGCACUGUUUCGGCAAGGGGGUCAUCCCGACUUACCAACCCGAUGCAAACUGCGAAUACCGGAGAAUGUUAUCACGGGAGACACACGGCGGGUGCUAACGUCCGUCGUGAAGAGGGAAACAACCCAGACCGCCAGCUAAGGUCCCAAAGUCAUGGUUAAGUGGGAAACGAUGUGGGAAG
RNAcentral lists this ribosomal RNA (255 nucleotides) under Escherichia coli. Its description in RNAcentral is "partial 23S ribosomal RNA". It matches the Rfam family "Bacterial large subunit ribosomal RNA", at positions 830 to 1082 of the family's 2925-position model. Lineage: Bacteria; Pseudomonadati; Pseudomonadota; Gammaproteobacteria; Enterobacterales; Enterobacteriaceae. The record is from RNAcentral.